UUUUCUUUCCUUUUUCUUUUUCCUCUUUUUCUUUCCCUUUCUUCUCUUCUUCUUCCUCACGUCGCUAAGACUUCUCCCCAGCCAUAGCUUCACCACUCGUCGCUCAUCGUCGUUGGAAUUGGCUUUAGUCGAGCUGUCGAGUGCCGUCCAGCCCUUUUCCCCCACUUGACGUUACGUUGUCCAGCCGCCGAGUGGAUCGUCCAUCCUUGCGAGAUCUAGCCGCCGACUAGGACAUCCGUUCGUGCUCCAUGGCGCCACUUGUUGACCGACCACCAAAGCCGCUGCCCAGAUUUGCUCCCACCAACUGAAGUCGCGCCGUCGACGCCCAGUCGCUGAGGUCCGCGCCACCUAGACAUACGCACUCCCAGCAAGCCGUGCCCUCCCCUCGCCGUUAGCUCAACCUUGUCAUCGAACCAGCUUCCACCGCAAAUCUCCUUCGUAACUUAUCGAAUCUUGGUUAAUUGGGGGGUUUUGGAGGAGAAUUUGUGUGCUGUCCAGCGGGUGUUGAAGUUCCUUCUUCGUGGCGAUUUGGUAAGGGUAGAGAUGCACCGGCGAUGGACAAACAGAAUUUGUGAUCGAGCCACUGGGACU
Molecule: long non-coding RNA, 591 nt
Organism: Benincasa hispida (wax gourd)
Lineage: Eukaryota; Viridiplantae; Streptophyta; Magnoliopsida; Cucurbitales; Cucurbitaceae
Source: RefSeq, a predicted model, not a curated record